GGGCGAUUAGCUCAGGGGUAGAGCACCUGCCUUACAAGCAGGGGGUCGCUGGUUCAAAUCCAGCAUCGCCCACCA
RNAcentral lists this transfer RNA (75 nucleotides) under Deltaproteobacteria bacterium HGW-Deltaproteobacteria-20. RNAcentral describes it as "tRNA-Val". It matches the Rfam family "tRNA". From Rfam's summary of the family: Transfer RNA (tRNA) molecules are approximately 80 nucleotides in length. Their secondary structure includes four short double-helical elements and three loops (D, anti-codon, and T loops). The record is from RNAcentral. Lineage: Bacteria; Deltaproteobacteria.